This 347-nucleotide ribosomal RNA is filed under the name uncultured eukaryote. RNAcentral's name for it is "SSU rRNA". It matches the Rfam family "Eukaryotic small subunit ribosomal RNA", at positions 594 to 945 of the family's 1831-position model. The record is from RNAcentral.
AUAGCGUAUAUUAAAGUUGUUGCGGUUAAAAAGCUCGUAGUUGGAUCUCAGUUCCAGUCGGGCGGUCCGCCUACCGGCGAUAACUGCCCGUUCUGAACACGGCCGCCGGUUUCCCUUGAUGAUCUUCACCGGUUGUCUCGGGUGACCGGCAAGUUUACUUUGAAAAAAUUAGAGUGCUCAAAGCAGGCGCGACGCCUGAAUAAUGGUGCAUGGAAUAAUGGAAUAGGACCUCGGUUCUAUUUUGUUGGUUUUCGGAACACGAGGUAAUGAUUAAUAGGGACAGACGGGGGCAUUCGUAUUGCGACGCUAGAGGUGAAAUUCUUGGACCGUCGCGAGACGAACUACUG